UGGGGUACUCGAGUGGCGAACGGGUGAGUAACACGUGAGUAACCUACCCUUGACUUUGGGAUAACUUCAGGAAACUGGGGCUAAUACCGGAUAGGAGCUCCUGCUGCAUGGUGGGGGUUGGAAAGUUUCGGCGGUUGGGGAUGGACUCGCGGCUUAUCAGCUUGUUGGUGGGGUAGUGGUUCACCAAGGCUUUGACGGGUAGCCGGCCUGAGAGGGUGACCGGCCACAUUGGGACUGAGAUACGGCCCAG
Molecule: ribosomal RNA, 250 nt
Filed under: uncultured Actinomycetales bacterium
Lineage: Bacteria; Bacillati; Actinomycetota; Actinomycetes; Actinomycetales
Description: partial 16S ribosomal RNA
Rfam family: Bacterial small subunit ribosomal RNA
Source: RNAcentral